UACGUAGGGCGCAAGCGUUAUCCGGAAUUAUUGGGCGUAAAGAGCUCGUAGGCGGUUUGUCGCGUCUGCCGUGAAAGUCCGGGGCUUAACCCCGGAUCUGCGGUGGGUACGGGCAGACUAGAGUGCAGUAGGGGAGACUGGAAUUCCUGGUGUAGCGGUGAAAUGCGCAGAUAUCAGGAGGAACACCGAUUGCGAAGGCAGGUCUCUGGGCUGUAACUGACGCUGAGGAGCGAAAGCAUGGGGAGCGAACAGG
RNAcentral lists this ribosomal RNA (253 nucleotides) under uncultured bacterium. RNAcentral describes it as "partial 16S ribosomal RNA". It matches the Rfam family "Bacterial small subunit ribosomal RNA", at positions 524 to 776 of the family's 1533-position model. The record is from RNAcentral.